AAUAUUGGGCGUAAGGGCUCGCAGGCGGUUUCUUAAGUCUGAUGUGAAAGCCCCCGGCUCAACCGGGGAGGGUCAUUGGAAACUGGGAAACUUGAGUGCAGAAGAGGAGAGUGGAAUUCCACGUGUAGCGGUGAAAUGCGUAGAGAUGUGGAGGAACACCAGUGGCGAAGGCGACUCUCUGGUCUGUAACUGACGCUGAGGAGCGAAAGCGUGGGGAGCGAACAGGAUUAGAUACCCUGGUAGUCCACGCCGUAAACGAUGAGUGCUAAGUGUUAGGGGGUUUCCGCCC
Molecule: ribosomal RNA, 289 nt
Filed under: Bacillus pumilus
Lineage: Bacteria; Bacillati; Bacillota; Bacilli; Caryophanales; Bacillaceae
Description: partial 16S ribosomal RNA
Rfam family: Bacterial small subunit ribosomal RNA
Source: RNAcentral